This is a long non-coding RNA of Hipposideros armiger (great roundleaf bat), 632 nucleotides long. RefSeq lists it as uncharacterized. NCBI's taxonomy places the organism in Eukaryota, Metazoa, Chordata, Mammalia, Chiroptera, Hipposideridae. The record is from RefSeq and is a predicted model, not a curated record. The transcript is spliced from 4 exons.
AUUCUAUUGACUACAUAGAACUGCACCAACGGAGAGAAUUCACCUGUGAACUAGCAAAGUUAUGGAAGUCUUCCUGGAACAGGCAAAACCUGGGGUAUAGCCCCCUCUAAUUCUUGUUAAUACAGCAUGAAAAGAUCCAGACUACAUAUGCCUAAAGCAGAGCUUCCUGGGUUUUGCUUUGGAAACACAGAGCAUGGGACUCUGGCGAGAGAACAUCUGUGAGGUCCCUUCUGAUGGAUGUAUAAGGGAAAUAAAGCCAGCUUUAACAUCUUUCUUGCCUCUGGGCUGAGAUCUGCUGAGGCAGUGGGAGCAAUCUUUGUCCAGGACCAUUUUACCCACGUGAUCAAGAUGGCUGGGCUGGGUCAGAACUGAGGAUUCUAAUCAGGACCCAAAGUGGAUAGGUCUGGAGAAAGCCACUGUCGUAAGCCGCCAGAGGCCCCCAGAAGCUAAAGUGCCUCCACAAGAAUGGAGGAAUAGAGAAAAUGGAAUUGACCUGUAAAGAAAAGGAGACAUAUGAAAAGAAUGGUUAUAUCCCAUCAUUUCUGCUUCCAGAUGAAUUCCAGCUCUGCCACUGCUAAGGAAAUGAGGGGAGGAAAAGAACCUGGGGGCUGGUUCCUUUGCUUCAUACAGAA